AAUGAUUUGCCUGAUUAAAGGAUUAUUUUGAUAGAAUAAAUUAUAUGAUUUUUUCAUAUUCAUUA
RNAcentral lists this transfer RNA (65 nucleotides) under Arachnocampa flava (prey-luring glowworm). Its description in RNAcentral is "tRNA-Ile". The record is from RNAcentral. Lineage: Eukaryota; Metazoa; Arthropoda; Insecta; Diptera; Keroplatidae.